Molecule: unclassified non-coding RNA, 282 nt
Filed under: Papenfussiella sp. CHIL3
Lineage: Eukaryota; Phaeophyceae; Ectocarpales; Chordariaceae
Description: partial ITS1
Source: RNAcentral
CCGAAGCUUGGCCUGGGUAGGCCAACGAAAUAAACUGCCCCCUGAUAGCGUCUCUCGACUCUGCCGCGUCGCGGCGGUCUUCCGGGGAGACAGCGUUCCGAAAACCCCGCGAAARAAAAGCCUUAUGCGAUGUCGGGCGAGGUGCGUCUCGCCGAGCUUUGCUAAGCUCGAAACAAAGCGUACCCCACACUUCAACCCCAAACAAACUCUGAAUCUGAACUCAAAAGGAGGCACAGGCUUUGCGUCGUCGCGAAGCCGCCCGCCCCCUCAACCUUUAACGUU